GCCCAGGUAGCUCAGUUGGUAGAGCAGCGGACUGAAAAUCCGCGUGUCGGUGGUUCAAAUCCGCCCCUGGGCA
RNAcentral lists this transfer RNA (73 nucleotides) under Defluviicoccus vanus. It matches the Rfam family "tRNA". From Rfam's summary of the family: Transfer RNA (tRNA) molecules are approximately 80 nucleotides in length. Their secondary structure includes four short double-helical elements and three loops (D, anti-codon, and T loops). Lineage: Bacteria; Pseudomonadati; Pseudomonadota; Alphaproteobacteria; Rhodospirillales; Rhodospirillaceae. The record is from Rfam by way of RNAcentral.